RNAcentral lists this ribosomal RNA (882 nucleotides) under uncultured bacterium. Its description in RNAcentral is "bacterial SSU rRNA". It matches the Rfam family "Bacterial small subunit ribosomal RNA", at positions 8 to 911 of the family's 1533-position model. The record is from RNAcentral.
AGAGUUUGAUCAUGGCUCAGGAUGAACGUUGGCGGCGUGCCUAACACAUGCAAGUCGAACGCAAAUAGCAAUAUUUGAGUGGCGCACGGGUGAGUAACACGUAGCUUACCUCCCUCCAAGCGUGGGAUAACGUUCCGAAAGGAAUGCUAAUACCGCAUAAGCUCACGAGCUAUAGAGGCUUGUGAGAAAAGGGGCAACUCACUUGGAGACGGGGCUGCGGCCCAUCAGCUAGUUGGCGAGGUAACGGCUCACCAAGGCGACGACGGGUAGGGGACCUGAGAGGGUGACCCCCCACACUGGGACUGAGACACGGCCCAGACUCCUACGGGAGGCAGCAGUGAGGAAUAUUGCACAAUGGGCGCAAGCCUGAUGCAGCGACGCCGCGUGAGUGAAGAAGGCCUUCGGGUCGUAAAGCUCUUUUCUGCGUGACGAGCAAGGACGGUAGCGCAGGAAUAAGUCUCGGCUAACUACGUGCCAGCAGCCGCGGUAAAACGUAGGAGACAAACGUUAUCCGGAGUUACUGGGCGUAAAGGGCGUGUAGGCGGUUUGUUAAGUCUGGCGUGAAAGCUCUCGGCUAAACCGGGAGAGGUCGUUGGAUACUGGCAAACUUGAGGAUGGUAGAGGCGUGUGGAAUUCUGGGUGUAGUGGUGAAAUGCGUAGAGAUCUGGAGGAACACCAGUGGCGAAGGCGACACGCUGGGCCGUACCUGACGCUAAAGCGCGACAGCAUGGGGAGCAAACGGGAUUAGAAACUCCGGUAGUCCAUGCCGUAAACGAUGUCAGCUAGGUGUUUCAAGACUCGCAAGAGGCUGGGGUACCGAAGCAAACGCGAUAAGCUGACUGCCUGGGGAGUACGGUCGCAAGGCUAAAACUCAAAGGAUUG